CCUGCUUCUUGAAGGGUUACAGUUGCAGCUGCUGUGUCACAUGUAUGUCAGUAGGUGGCAGAGAGGAGAGAAGCUUUGUUUAUGCUCAGUAUUCUGACCUGUGAACAUUCAAAUGAUUAGUAGCUUAACAUU
Small nucleolar RNA from Acomys russatus (golden spiny mouse), 132 nucleotides. RefSeq annotates it as small nucleolar RNA SNORA17. The transcript has a single exon. The record is from RefSeq and is a predicted model, not a curated record. NCBI's taxonomy places the organism in Eukaryota, Metazoa, Chordata, Mammalia, Rodentia, Muridae.